Molecule: long non-coding RNA, 420 nt
Filed under: Rosa chinensis
Lineage: Eukaryota; Viridiplantae; Streptophyta; Magnoliopsida; Rosales; Rosaceae
Description: sRNA RchiOBHm_Chr2g0126811
Source: RNAcentral
UUCCUUCAUCCAUCUCAUCUCCUUGUCUCACCAUUUCCUCUCCAUUUUCCUUAGUCACCAUUUCCUAUACAUCUUCCUUCAUCCAUCUCAUCUUCUUUGUCUCUCCAUUUCCUUUCCAUUUUUCUCUCCAUUCUCUAGUUUUAAGUUUCUGCAUUUUUAAGCAAAGAGAAGAAGAGAAGAAGAAGCCAUGAAGCCUCCUAGCCGUCAUCAUCCACCUUGUGCCGUGAUAGUGAAGUCUUGCUUUAAAGAUUCAAGAUCAACGUCUCAAGCUCUUCAUCAUCCACUCCCUUCAUGGUAUUUGUAGAACUAUGAAUUCUAGUUAACAAAUAAUGUUAAGGGCAAAGUUUAAAGCCCGUUUAUAUGUUUUGAGAUAAAGUUGUGAUUUCUAUAUGUUGAUUUUUAUGUUGCUUAUGUGGGUUU